AAUCCAUAGGUUAAUGAGGCGAACCGGGGGAACUGAAACAUCUAAGUACCCCGAGGAAAAGAAAUCAACCGAGAUUCCCCCAGUAGCGGCGAGCGAACGGGGAGGAGCCCAGAGCCUGAAUCAGCAUGUGUGUUAGUGGAAGCGUCUGGAAAGGCGCGCGAUACAGGGUGACAGCCCCGUACACAAAAGCGCAUGUGCUGUGAGCUCGAUGAGUAGGGCGGGACACGUGGUAUCCUGUCUGAAUAUGGGGGGACCAUCCUCCAAGGCUAAAUACUCCUGACUGACCGAUAGUGAACCAGUACCGUGAGGGAAAGGCGAAAAGAACCCCGGCGAGGGGAGUGAAAAAGAACCUGAAACCGUGUACGUACAAGCAGUGGGAGCACCCUUUGGGUGUGACUGCGUACCUUUUGUAUAAUGGGUCAGCGACUUAUAUUCUGUAGCAAGGUUAACCGAAUAGGGGAGCCGGAGGGAAACCGAGUCUUAACCGGGCGUUAAGUUGCAGGGUAUAGACCCGAAACCCGGUGAUCUAGCCAUGGGCAGGUUGAAGGUUGGGUAACACUAACUGGAGGACCGAACCGACUAAUGUUGAAAAAUUAGCGGAUGACCUGUGGCUGGGGGUGAAAGGCCAAUCAAACCGGGAGAUAGCUGGUUCUCCCCGAAAGCUAUUUAGGUAGCGCCUCGUGAAUUCAUCUCCGGGGGUAGAGCACUGUUUCGGCUAGGGGGCCAUCCCGGCUUACCAACCCGAUGCAAACUGCGAAUACCGGAGAAUGUUAUCACGGGAGACACACGGCGGGUGCUAACGUCCGUCGUGAAGAGGGAAACAACCCAGACCGCCAGCUAAGGUCCCAAAGUCAUGGUUAAGUGGGAAACGAUGUGGGAAGGCCCAGACAGCCAGGAUGUUGGCUUAGAAGCAGCCAUCAUUUAAAGAAAGCGUAAUAGCUCACUGGUCGAGUCGGCCUGCGCGGAAGAUGUAACGGGGCUAAACCAUGCACCGAAGCUGCGGCAGCGACACUGUGUGUUGUUGGGUAGGGGA
This 1033-nucleotide ribosomal RNA is filed under the name Salmonella enterica. RNAcentral's name for it is "partial 23S ribosomal RNA". It matches the Rfam family "Bacterial large subunit ribosomal RNA", at positions 161 to 1235 of the family's 2925-position model. The record is from RNAcentral. Lineage: Bacteria; Pseudomonadati; Pseudomonadota; Gammaproteobacteria; Enterobacterales; Enterobacteriaceae. RNAcentral also lists the same sequence under 1 other name.